RNAcentral lists this ribosomal RNA (253 nucleotides) under uncultured bacterium. RNAcentral's name for it is "partial 16S ribosomal RNA". It matches the Rfam family "Bacterial small subunit ribosomal RNA", at positions 524 to 776 of the family's 1533-position model. The record is from RNAcentral.
UACAUGGGGUGCAAACGUUGCUCGGAAUUAUUGGGCGUAAAGCGCGCGUAGGCGGUUCCCUAAGUCGGACGUGAAAGCCCUCGGCUUAACCGAGGAAGUGCAUCCGAAACUGAGCAGCUAGAGUACGAAAGAGGGUCGCGGAAUUCCCGGUGUAGAGGUGAAAUUCGUAGAUAUCGGGAGGAACACCGGCGGCGAAGGCGGCGACCUGGGUCGAGACUGACGCUGAGGCGCGAAAGCGUGGGGAGCAAACAGG